This 311-nucleotide small RNA is filed under the name Tursiops truncatus (common bottlenose dolphin). RNAcentral describes it as "7SK RNA (ENSTTRG00000024279.1)". Lineage: Eukaryota; Metazoa; Chordata; Mammalia; Artiodactyla; Delphinidae. The record is from RNAcentral.
AAGUCACAGGCAGGCAGGUUGUGAAAUCUGCCACCCUUUUUACUGCCAGCCUUGACUCAGCUGAUCUGCCCACUGAGUGGAUGUUACCUCUCUACAUCACAGCUCAACAGGCAUCCCUCCCAAAGCUGCUGGAUCAAAAAUGAUGAUCUUUAUGAUCUGUUCAGAAAGAGGAGGUGAUAUCUUCCCCUCAGUAGUUUGCAGCAAGUAGCUGACCUCUGCCUGAGUCUCCAAAUACUUAUGAAGGGCUAUUUAUAGGAGAAAUGAAGCUUAACUUUAAAGCAGAGAUCAGACACAAUGACAGGUAUCCAUAU